This is a long non-coding RNA of Cygnus olor (mute swan), 5050 nucleotides long. RefSeq lists it as uncharacterized. The record is from RefSeq and is a predicted model, not a curated record. NCBI's taxonomy places the organism in Eukaryota, Metazoa, Chordata, Aves, Anseriformes, Anatidae. The transcript is spliced from 3 exons.
CUUGUCACACACAGACUCCGUCUCACGCAGUUACAGAAAUUAGAAGUGUUGGACAUUAACUAUAACAGUUGCUGGUUGCAAAUAAGACAGCAUCACCCAGAUAUCAGUGUAGGACUUGAACUGUACUCGUCCAGACUUGGAGCAGAUAAGGUUUUCUUUAAGCCACCUGUGGUUCUCUUCUCUGUGGAAUCCAACACUUGGUACCCAGACAGUCUGAUAUGCUUCUGAUCAAUGCUGAAUAUCACUGGGAAGCAGCUACUGCACAAGUAGGCAUGACAGACGCUUUAAAGAGAUGUUGUUUCAUCAGUCCUGUUCUGAAGAGACCACUAGCAGUCAAAGGCAAAGGGGACUACGACUCUGUAAUGGGAUUUACCUAGCAGUUAUUCAGAACCAAGUGUCUCUGAUGCUGAAUGUUCAUACAACUUCUAACAUUAGACCACAUCUUUUGGUCUGGAGUCUGGAAUAAAAUUUUAGUCAUCCACUGCUGAGUUUGGGCCCAAGUAACCUCAUUUAUUUUCAUCCAGGCAAAGCUGUAAAAAAAAAUUCAGGAAUACUAUACAUUUAUAAUUACAUAUUUGCAGUGACACACCCACCAUUGCAUGUGGCAGUACCAUUUUUUUUUUUUUUUUAAGACUUUCUGGAGCUCAGGUGUUUUUUUUUUUCCCCUAAUACCAAUAGAAGAGCUAUUUGCUGAAAAAGCCUAUAAGGCAAACAUCAGCCCUGCAGAAACAACUGAAGGGGAAGAGACCCCCCUGAACUCUAUGAAAUAUUUACAAACCGCUUUAGGAGCCCUGGGAUGAAGUACUUUCAAGUGUAGGCAGAAAACAUAAUGGAUAUAAAAAACCUUUCUUAGCCCUUGGUGAGAUUUGUUUUGUAGACCUAGCUAUAGAUAUGAGAGAAUGCAUGAGGUCAUCCAGUCUGCUGCCUCCUCUUCCCAGAGAGAAGUGGUCCCUGUGCUAUGUUUUAUAACUCUUCACUCAGGCUAGCUCUGGCUGGCUCUGACUAAAGAGAGCCCUAACCCACCUCCUGGGAGUAUUCGCAAUUUUUCUAAAUAUUUUACCUUGUGCAGUUUUUCCCCAGUAUUCCACCCAGAACAAUUUAAUGUGGUACGUAUAAAGAUACUUCAGUGUAACGAUCAUGAUGCUGUUGAUUUCCUAUCUAUUGCCUUAGACAACCCUAAAUAAUUUCUCAACCAGUAUGGUGGUUAUGGCCCUCAAAUAUCUGUCUACCAUCAUGCUCCUCACCAUUUAAGCACACUAUAGCUGUGCUUUGCUCUUACUGAGCCAUCACAAGCAAGUUUUUUCGGAUGUUUUCAUGUCUAUUCCUUCUUCUAUGUACUCAAGACACGUUAUUACACUUGAGGAAAAGGACAAGGAAAAGUGAAAAGACUACAACAUCUGCUUCCAUGCUAUCCCAGCAUUUUAGGCAUGGAAAAAGACAUUCUAGAUAACCUCACCCACACACAGCAUUUAAUUCUUACGCCAGGGUUUAAGGUGUUUUUUCCCCACUUCUGCUUCCUCUUACAUCCUUAAUAAACCCUUUCUUCUUAUUAUUAGAACUCUAGGGUUUCCUAGGGUUUCCAAUUGUUGGUUGGACAGUUCAGAGUAACGAAGCUGCCUCUGGAAGAGGUUAGAUAGGAAGAGUUCCUGCACUCACAUCUCAGUGCCGAGAGGACAGAAAGCAUCCUUGAAGGGUUUUGUUUCCACGAUCUGCUCCCAAGGGACUGCACAAGAGUCACUGUCGAACAGCUAUGCAGGAGAACUGAGUUUAAAGGAACUAAUCUGGCAUCCAUGUAGUGGUCGUUUUCCUUGCAUAUUAUCCUUAGUGUUUUACGGAAAAAAAAAAGCCUUUCCCCAUCAAAGCAGUCUUUAAGAUUCAUGAAGCUUUUCUAAAGCAUAGACUGAUGAUUGUUGUUUUUUCAUUUUGUUUUAAAAACAAUCCUAAAAUGGCCUUUGAACUCGAAAUGGUAGAGGAUUAUGUACACACAUACUUUAAAAGUUAAAAAAAAUAUAAUUUAAUAAUAAAAACAGAUUUCUUAUUACAUACAUAUUUUUACUGUGUGAACACAGUAACUUGCCACAGCUUAUUUCAAGAGUUAAUGUCAUCAACUGUCUCAUGAAAGCAGCUCUCUGAAAUAAAGCUCUGAAAUGCACAGAGGUACAAGUCCUCCUACAGCCAAACUCAGCUGCUCUUCACAUGAGGUUCUCCUGGGGGUAAACUACCAUCCUAAAAGUAGCUUACUAUCCUGACACAUUGACUAAGUGACUGUUAUUGAUUUUACUGAAGGAAAUGCAGACAAGAUGAAACAUUUGCCAAAAACCAUAGCACAACUCAGUAACAGGUGCGUUUCACACACUGCUGUGAACUCAGUGCAUUGGUUUAUUAAGCAGAAUAAACUUUGCAUUAGGAGAAACUUUUUUCAAGUUAAAUACUUCCCUGAGCAGAGCACAUAUACCUGUAUUAUAGCACACUAGUAAAUUAAGCAGCAAACCACACUGCUUUUCUUCCUUCCACCAUUACAAAACAUGGUCUUAUGCAAGUUGGCUUCUGUCUGUCUGCAAGACUUUCAGUAAUAAGGUCUAGCAAUAGCUGCACUCCCUAUAGGAUACGUGGCAGCUGGGUCAGCCUGUUCACAAAAUAACUUGUCAUUAUCAGGGUAGUUCUCUGCAGCUACUACUAUAUUAUACCAGAAUUUAAUUAAAUACAGACAUAUUAGCACUAUAAAAUAAGGAAGUACAAAACCAACUGUCAUGGUCAGUAAUUCCUUCAGCAUUUCCUUGCAUGACGCAAAGAGUAGUACACGUUAGAAGUUGGGGACCUUAUUUUCUAAUGCCAAUACCUGCUUAAACUCAGGACUGCUAUUCCUGUCACAAUCCAAAUGCAGCCAGGGCACCUAGGCUGGUCUGCGGGGUACAGCACGCAACACAGGCUUCACUUACACUGCAGUUGACUUCACAUUACAUUUCCUCUGUCUGCUUUUGCUCACCUUUAAUAGAGGGCAGCAGCAACACUUAAUUAACCUGUUCAGGAUUCAGAAGAGGUUAGGGGGUUGACUCUCAGUUACUCCCUCAGAGAUCACUUAACUGGAUUUAUUCCGAUCAAGAAUUAAAACAUCCACCUAAACAUAUGCCAGUCAGCUCAUAACCACAGGAAAAAGUGAUUCUUUCUAACGAAACACAGCAGAGUUUGAAUGGUGAAAAGAAUCAUUAUAAAGGGAAAGGAAAAAAUAAAAUUGAGCUUUAUUAUUUGUGCAUAAAAUGGAUACGACACUAUACUGGUAGCUGUAAAAAGUUGCAUUUUCUUCCUUACUCCUCCAAAUACAGUUGAAACUCUACUUCCCUUUCUAAAUACACACACUGUGUUACUACUACUACUCAGCAUGAUGUUUGAAGACUGAAUUCCUAUUUGUGAAGGUCCUGAUAAUCACAAAAUUAACUCUUCUUCAGGGCAACAUCAAUCACUAAAUGACAGAGCAUCUGUUAGAAGCUAGGCAGCAAAGUGCCUAUUUCUAUCCCUCCUGGAGUGGGGCAAGCUGUAUUUUCUGGAACAGAACAGUUACGCUCCCAGCAAGCAAUGGAUUAUCUUAAUAUUGUGAUAAACUCCAAAAAAUGCUGAAGCAUCAUUAUUUUAAGGCAGUCUUAGAGGAAGGGAAACAACCAUUUUUGAAAAUGUAGUUCUAGAGAAUUAAUACCACAGAAGAAAAAACAUGAACGAUUAGGCAGGGGAGCUAUUUUUGUACUCAUACUUUUUUUUUUAAGUUAUGAUAUCUUUAAAAUGACUUCAUUCCACCCACUUUGCUCUUGUUAACACUGCAAAGUCAUUGUGAAAGCCAGUAAGUCAUUGUCCACAUUUGUUUCACAGCUACUACUCUGAGUUUCUUUCCCUUCUUGGAUACGCUGCUGUCAGUGUCUUCCCAAAAUAGAUUCCCAGUGUGAUGCUUUGAUUCUAAGAGUGUGUUUGCUCUGUCGGGUUGCAAAGGGGACCUAUAAUCUAUAAUAUAGAUGACCAGCCAAAGAAGCCUUUCACUUUCAUGUGCAUGACAGGACCUCCUCCCAAUCCAAGAGCCAGGUGACUUGAGUGGACAAGGAACAGAUCUGAUCCCCAUGCUUAAUUAACAUUACACUGCCGAGCCCACACCUGCAUCUAGCACGGUGGCACAUGAAGACACAGAAUGCCUGUAGCAUCCACUGCUCUCCCUGUAGAUGCUCAGUUCUUAAGCAGGCUAAAUAUGGAUUCAGAAGGAUAAGCAUGGCUCAUCUAUCAGGCUGUGUCAGUAUUUUAUAAACCAUUAUACAUACCCACAUGAACAGGUCUCCCUGCACCCUCAGAGUUAAAGGUUGUAUAUACUCACUGUAGCAAGACUAUAAACCAUUUUUUGAUGCAUUCACUCUUCCUCUGGCACACUGAUACUAUUAAAGCUUUAAGUGUUUCACAUGAACACUUUACUACAGGUACCAGCAGUCCACAGCUGCUGCAAUAAUUCAGCUGUGGAGCCUGAGAACUAGUCCCUCUAACCAAACAAACCAACAGAGCAGCUCCACCCACUCACAGACACAGCAAGAAACAAAGCAUCAUGAAGCAACCAUACUUUCUCCUCAGGAGAUUCCCUCUCCCACCUAACACCUCCCUUCACGAUGUGCUCUCCUUCCUGAACAGGAAUUGCAGGCAACCAGACCGCUUCCCCUCAGCUGUAUGCCUGAGAGCUGGGAACAAAGCACUUCUCCAAGGGCCCAUCACGGGCUCUGCAGACUUCAGUACCAGCACAUUGGUUUGGUGUACUCUGAACUACAGACCUCUCUCUGUGAAAAAGCUGUCUUCCCUUUCGCACAAGGUCAGAGUAAGAACUAUUUCUAAAUAACCAGUUGCUGAGAACUACAUCUGAACUAUUUCUCACAGAAAGCUGUAAUCAUUCAGACAGAAAGAAAAAACUGUAACAAAGCUCGCAGCCACCCCUUUCCCACCUCCAGUUCUGCUCCCAUCCCAUAAGCUGAGAGAUUACCUGUAGAGACCAAAGUAGCGGAGUUUCUUCAUGAGGGCAUAGUAGGUGUUG